CAUGGAUCUCACAGAGAGGCCAGCAUUGGAGGUUACCAGUUGUUUUGCAGAUUUUGACUGAAAAGUUUUAUCCAGAAUAACCUAACCAGAGGAACUAAAAAGGGAAAAUGCAGGCUCCUCCUGAGACUUGCAUCUCCAUCACCGCAAGUCGAUACUCAUUUGCUCUCUUCGAGGUCCAUAGCAUCAGCCUGCGGUACCGCAUCAGAGGUGGCCUCAUUGUCCGUGUGCUUAAGGGGGAAGCACAAUUCCAAGUGUCAGAAUCAUAUGGUCUCUGGUCCCCGUGUGCCUGCAACCUGAAGAAAAUCAAUAGCAAUUUUUAUAAAUGACUAUUUUCC
Molecule: long non-coding RNA, 335 nt
Filed under: Fukomys damarensis (Damara mole-rat)
Lineage: Eukaryota; Metazoa; Chordata; Mammalia; Rodentia; Bathyergidae
Description: lncRNA (ENSFDAG00000032172.1)
Source: RNAcentral